UACGAAGGGGGCUAGCGUUGUUCGGAUUUACUGGGCGUAAAGGGCGCGUAGGCGGCGCAACAAGUCACUUGUGAAAUCUCCGGGCUUAACUCGGAACGGUCAAGUGAUACUGUUGUGCUAGAGUGCGGAAGGGGCAACUGGAAUUCUCGGUGUAGCGGUGAAAUGCGUAGAUAUCGAGAGGAACACCUGCGGCGAAGGCGGGUUGCUGGGCCGACACUGACGCUGAUGCGCGAAAGCCAGGGGAGCGAACGGG
RNAcentral lists this ribosomal RNA (253 nucleotides) under uncultured bacterium. RNAcentral describes it as "partial 16S ribosomal RNA". It matches the Rfam family "Bacterial small subunit ribosomal RNA", at positions 524 to 776 of the family's 1533-position model. The record is from RNAcentral.